Molecule: long non-coding RNA, 1326 nt
Filed under: Felis catus (domestic cat)
Lineage: Eukaryota; Metazoa; Chordata; Mammalia; Carnivora; Felidae
Description: lncRNA (ENSFCAG00000048275.1)
Source: RNAcentral
GAGUAUGUAGCAAGGUAUUACCUCACAAAGCAAUAGGUAGAACAUUGACUGUUGGCCUGGCCACUUCCCUACCUGAUGUAGCCUCUCCCUCACAGUUUCUUAUCUACAUUCUUACACUUUGGGCAUUACAUUGAUCAUUAAACUAAGGACACAUCUCCAUGAAAACUGGAAAUUUGAAGGAACCAUACCCUUUUGGUGUAAUGGAAGGAACAGUUUUGACUUUGUCAAGAUCCUUUUAUAUCACUGUGCAUUUUGCAUCGAGGAAUAUCAUUUUUCAGUAUGGAAAAGCAAGUGAGGGGAACAGAAGAAAGACUAAUUUGGCCUGAAUUAUCUUGGCACGAAUACGCUUUCUCUUCAUGAGUUGGUUAACACUUCCUUCAACAUUUUGCUAAGAAUCCAUUUAUCAGACUAAUUUCUGGGAUUCACUUUUUCCCUACCUGAAAAUCAAAAUUGUUUAUCUCUAGUUGCUUAUCUUAAAAAUCAAAGUUGCUUAUCUAAGUUUUGUUACUUCACAUGUUCUUCACCAUUUCUCAAAAGUUUCUGACAGUCCUUUGAUCACAUAUAUGAGAAGUACUGUUCAUGUAUUUUUUUAAUACAAAUCAAUCAGCUCCAAAAGAUGAAUUCAUUGAAGUGACUAUACUUUUAAUUUCUUAUGACCAGUUUUCAAUUUCUUCUUAAUUCUGUUUGCUUCAAGACCUUUCCCUUUUAAUAGAUAAAAUAGGAGCAAGAUGUCCUAACAUCUGUUAACACUACACCAACUACUCCAAACAGCAAGACUCCCUUUACUUUAUUCUCCCUUUCCUUCUUCUUGCCUCAAAAUAUGCCUUAAUUCUAUUUUUAAUUAUUUGUAGCAUAUUUCAAAAAGUGAAUUUAUAAUGAAUUUAGUCUUCCUAAUUACCACUUUAUAAACCCAUACCUCUCUUGAUGUUCAUUUUCUUUCCAUCUUCUAUGCAUAGCCUUUAAAGUCUCCCUUCAACAUUUUAUGCACAUUGGUUUAUUCCAUUGCAGCUCCCUAUCAUUAUCAGCAGAGAAUUUUUUGUAAGUUUAUCUAUUUAUUUUGGGAGAGAGAGCAAGAGAGCACAAGCAUGCGGAGAGGGGCGGGGGGGGGGGGGGAGAGAAUCCCAAGCUGGCUCCUCACUGUUAGCAUGGAGCCUAGGGCCAGAUGCAGGGCUCAAACCCAUGAACUGUGAGAUCAUGACCUGAGCUGAAGUUGUACGCUUAACAAACGGAGCCACCCAGGUUCCCCAUCAGUAGAACAUAUUGUAUGUACGUUCUGCAUUUACUUCAAACUUCCCAGCCAUCUCAAGCCAAGUCUCCAACCAUGGU